AGAAUCAACGCUGGCGGCGUGCCUAACACAUGCAAGUCGAACGAGAACGGGUAGCAAUACCUUAGUAAAGUGGCGCACGGGUGAGUAACACGUGACUAACCUACCCUGGAGUGGGGAUAACCGAGAGAAAUCUUAGCUAAUACCGCAUAACACCUACGGGUCAAAGGAGCAAUUCGCUUCAGGAGGGGUCGCGGCAGAUUAGAUAGUUGGCGGGUAAUGGCCCACCAAGUCAGUGAUCUGUA
RNAcentral lists this ribosomal RNA (242 nucleotides) under uncultured bacterium. RNAcentral describes it as "partial small subunit ribosomal RNA". It matches the Rfam family "Bacterial small subunit ribosomal RNA", at positions 26 to 285 of the family's 1533-position model. The record is from RNAcentral.